AUUGAACGCUGGCGGCAGGCCUAACACAUGCAAGUCGAACGAGUGGCGGACGGGUGAGUAAUGUCUGGGAAACUGCCUGAUGGAGGGGGAUAACUACUGGAAACGGUAGCUAAUACCGCAUACCAUCGGAUGUGCCCAGAUGGGAUUGGUUUGUGGGUGGGGUAACGGCUCCCCAAGGCGACGAUCCCUAGCUGGGCUGAGAGGAUGACCAGCCAAACUGGAACUGAGACACGGUCCAUACUCCUACGUGAGGCAGCAGUGGGGAAUAGUGCACAAUGGGCGCAAGCCUGAUGCAGCCAUGCCGCGUGUAUGAAGAAGGCCUUCGGGUUGUAAAGUACUUUCAGCGGGGAGGCGUUACCCGCAGAAGAAGCACCGGCUAACUCCGUGCCAGCAGCCGCGGUAAUUC
RNAcentral lists this ribosomal RNA (406 nucleotides) under uncultured bacterium. RNAcentral describes it as "partial 16S ribosomal RNA". It matches the Rfam family "Bacterial small subunit ribosomal RNA", at positions 30 to 526 of the family's 1533-position model. The record is from RNAcentral.